This 510-nucleotide ribosomal RNA is filed under the name Pluralibacter gergoviae. RNAcentral describes it as "bacterial SSU rRNA". It matches the Rfam family "Bacterial small subunit ribosomal RNA", at positions 22 to 521 of the family's 1533-position model. The record is from RNAcentral. Lineage: Bacteria; Pseudomonadati; Pseudomonadota; Gammaproteobacteria; Enterobacterales; Enterobacteriaceae.
GCUCAGAUUGAACGCUGGCGGCAGGCCUAACACAUGCAAGUCGAACGGUAGCAGGAAGAAGCUUGCUUCUUUGCUGACGAGUGGCGGACGGGUGAGUAAUGUCUGGGAAACUGCCCGAUGGAGGGGGAUAACUACUGGAAACGGUAGCUAAUACCGCAUAACGUCUUCGGACCAAAGAGGGGGACCUUCGGGCCUCUUGCCAUCGGAUGUGCCCAGAUGGGAUUAGCUAGUAGGUGGGGUAACGGCUCACCUAGGCGACGAUCCCUAGCUGGUCUGAGAGGAUGACCAGCCACACUGGAACUGAGACACGGUCCAGACUCCUACGGGAGGCAGCAGUGGGGAAUAUUGCACAAUGGGCGCAAGCCUGAUGCAGCCAUGCCGCGUGUAUGAAGAAGGCCUUCGGGUUGUAAAGUACUUUCAGCGGGGAGGAAGGGAGUGAGGUUAAUAACCUCAUUCAUUGACGUUACCCGCAGAAGAAGCACCGGCUAACUCCGUGCCAGCAGCCGCGGU